AUCGUAAACUUUAAAUUACAUCAAACUCGCCUGGGAACUACGAGCCAAGCUUAAAACCCAAAGGACUUGACGGUACCCUAUAUCCACCUAGAGGAGCCUGUCCUAUAAUCGAUAAUCCACGUUUAACCUCACCAUUUUUAGCUUAUUCAGUCAGUAUACUUCCGUCGUCAGCCUACCACAUGAGCGUUAGUGGGCUCAAUGUUUAUUCAACAAUACGUCAGGUCAAGGUGCAGCUAAUAAAAUGGAAAGAGAUGGGCUACAUUUUCUAAUCUAGAGCAUACGAAAGACUACUAAUGAAAGCUAGUCGGAAGGCGGAUUUAGUAGUAAAUAGGAACCAAAAAGUCCUCUUUAAUUUGGCCCUGGGGUGUGUACACACCGCCCGUCACCCUCCUCUUAUGCCAAAAAUAGUUAUUAACCAAACUUAGCUUAUCAGAUGAGGUAAGUCGUAACACGGUAAG
Molecule: ribosomal RNA, 458 nt
Filed under: Allobates femoralis (brilliant-thighed poison frog)
Lineage: Eukaryota; Metazoa; Chordata; Amphibia; Anura; Aromobatidae
Description: partial 12S ribosomal RNA
Rfam family: Bacterial small subunit ribosomal RNA
Source: RNAcentral